AAUAAAUAAUAAAAAUUAAUUAAUUUUUUAUAAGAAAUUAAAUGAUAAAUCAUUAAAUUUAUAAGAUUUGGCGGUAUUUUAUAAAAUUAGAGGAAUUUGUAAAUUAAUUGAUAAUCCACGAUAAGAAAAACUUAUUUUAUAAUUUAUGUAUUGCUGUUUAAAAAAUUUUAUUAAAUAAAAUUUUUAAUUUAAUAUUUUAAUAUAAUUCAAGUCAAAAUAUAGUAUAGAUAAGAAAUUUAUGAAUUACAUUUUUUAUAAAUAAUGGAUAAUUUAAUUUAAAUUAAAUUUUAAAUUGGAUUUAAUAGUAAAGUUAAUAAAUUAAUUAAUUUGAAUAAAUAGUUUUAAAUAUAAAAUAUGU
This 358-nucleotide ribosomal RNA is filed under the name Polistes snelleni. RNAcentral's name for it is "partial 12S ribosomal RNA". Lineage: Eukaryota; Metazoa; Arthropoda; Insecta; Hymenoptera; Vespidae. The record is from RNAcentral.